Molecule: ribosomal RNA, 255 nt
Filed under: uncultured soil bacterium
Lineage: Bacteria
Description: partial 16S ribosomal RNA
Rfam family: Bacterial small subunit ribosomal RNA
Source: RNAcentral
AGGACGAACGCUGGCGGCGUGCUUAACACAUGCAAGUCGAGCGGUAAGGCCUUUCGGGGUACACGAGCGGCGAACGGGUGAGUAACACGUGGGUGAUCUGCCCUGCACUUCGGGAUAAGCCUGGGAAACUGGGUCUAAUACCGGAUAUGACUUCAGGUUGCAUGACUUGGGGUGGAAAGAUUUAUCGGUGCAGGAUGGGCCCGCGGCCUAUCAGCUUGUUGGUGGGGUAAUGGCCUACCAAGGCGACGACGGGUA